CAGUCGCCGCGGUAAUACGAGGGGGGCAAGCGUUGUUCGGAAUUAUUGGGCGUAAAGGGUGCGUAGGCGGUUUGGCAAGUUUGGUGUGAAAUCUUCGGGCUCAACUCGAAGUCUGCAUCGAAAACUGCCGGGCUUGAGUAUGGGAGAGGUGAGUGGAAUUUCCGGUGUAGCGGUGAAAUGCGUAGAUAUCGGAAGGAACACCUGUGGCGAAAGCGGCUCACUGGACCAUAACUGACGCUGAGGCACGAAAGCUAGGGGAGCAAACAGGAUUAGAUACCCGCGUAGUCCCUGUCUCUUAUAC
This 301-nucleotide ribosomal RNA is filed under the name uncultured bacterium. Its description in RNAcentral is "partial 16S ribosomal RNA". It matches the Rfam family "Bacterial small subunit ribosomal RNA", at positions 509 to 807 of the family's 1533-position model. The record is from RNAcentral.